AUUGAACGCUGGCGGCAGGCUUAACACAUGCAAGUUGAACGAGUGGCGGACGGGUGAGUAAUGCUUGGGAAUCUGGCUUAUGGAGGGGGAUAACGACGGGAAACUGUAGCUAAUACCGCGUACCAUAGGAUGAGCCCAAGUGGGAUGAGGUAGUUGGUGAGGUAAAGGCUCACCAAGCCGACGAUCUCUAUCUGGUCUGAGAGGAUGACCAGCCACACUGGGACUGAGACACGGCCCAAACUCCUACGGGAGGCAGCAGUGGGGAAUAUUGCGCAAUGGGGGCAACCUGACGCAGCCAUGCCGCGUGAAUGAAGAAGGCCUUCGGGUUGUAAAGGUCUUUCGGUAGCGAGGCGUUAACUACAGAAGAAGCACCGGCUAACUCCGUGCCAGCAGCCGCGGUAAUAC
Molecule: ribosomal RNA, 405 nt
Filed under: uncultured bacterium
Lineage: Bacteria
Description: partial 16S ribosomal RNA
Rfam family: Bacterial small subunit ribosomal RNA
Source: RNAcentral